UACGUAGGGUGCGAGCGUUGUCCGGAAUUAUUGGGCGUAAAGAGCUUGUAGGCGGUUUGUCGCGUCUGCUGUGAAAAUCCGGGGCUCAACCCCGGACUUGCGGUGGGUACGGGCAGACUAGAGUGUGGUAGGGGAGACUGGAAUUCCUGGUGUAGCGGUGAAAUGCGCAGAUAUCAGGAGGAACACCGAUGGCGAAGGCAGGUCUCUGGGCCACUACUGACGCUGAGAAGCGAAAGCAUGGGGAGCGAACAGG
This 253-nucleotide ribosomal RNA is filed under the name uncultured bacterium. RNAcentral's name for it is "partial 16S ribosomal RNA". It matches the Rfam family "Bacterial small subunit ribosomal RNA", at positions 524 to 776 of the family's 1533-position model. The record is from RNAcentral.